UAAAAUCUUUAGAAACGAAGUGUACCUGUGCCCGAACUCGAACUCGUUGUUUGCUUAGCAAAUAUCAACAAAACACAUGACAUCAGUUCACGAAAAGCAAAUACCGGUGUGCAAAUCUAGCGUUUAUGUGGUAACAACAGCACAGAACAAGAUUAAAGAUGACUCUCAGCAGGGUAGCAACGCUGGGCCCUCAGAUAACGAUAGACGGUGGAAUAUACACGCUAUACUUUAAGAAAGAAACACUUCGGGUAUCUCGAUGCCAAUUACGUUUGCGUAAUCAACUUGUUUCAAUCACGAACCGAUGCUAAGUUACUGAAUUAGUCUUGAGAAGGUCAUCGCUCAAGUACAUCCAAGAGUAAAACACACACUAAGCCUCACUUAGGAGCACCAAGGUGAUAUUCGACAUCUCCAGCACCUUCUCUGAAAAUGUCCUGCCACGAUAGACUCUUUUACAGUGUACUUCGCUGCCAGUUUUCACUUCCGCGGCUGCUGAAAAAUUCAAGGAAGAUGAAGAAGCUUACGAGUCGCAACGAAUCUCAGCAGGAUUUGUAAGCUUAAAAGUUUAGACAUCAUUGGCGUCUAAAUUCGAGGCAAAAUGUUCGUGAUCCGAUAAAGUGAUACAUGGAAUAGCCAAGCAAGAAGAGGAAAGUGCCCGCUAACUGUAUAAUGCUUGACCAGUGGCAAAAGAAAAACGAAGGAGUUUGAUUUAUAGAUAAAUACCAGGAGAACGAAAAGUCAAGCGAUCCUUUUUACUAGUCCCUCAUAUCAUCCCUCUUCCCAGCACCGCAAACACAACAAGACUCAGUCGAUCGCGGCUCGGAUUAGAGAUUCACGAAGACGUCCAUAGGCAUUUUAAUACCCAACUGGAUAUAGAUCAUCCGCGGGUUGUCAUUUAACUCAUCUCUAUCAA
This is a long non-coding RNA of Varroa destructor (honeybee mite), 910 nucleotides long. RefSeq lists it as uncharacterized. The record is from RefSeq and is a predicted model, not a curated record. Lineage: Eukaryota; Metazoa; Arthropoda; Arachnida; Mesostigmata; Varroidae.